GACGAACGCUGGCGGCGUGCUUAACACAUGCAAGUCGAACGCUGAAGCUCAGCUUGCUGGGUGGAUGAGUGGCGAACGGGUGAGUAACACGUGAGUAACCUGCCCCCUUCUUUGGGAUAACGCCCGGAAACGGGUGCUAAUACUGGAUAUUCACUGAUCUUCGCAUGGGGGUUGGUGGAAAGGUUUGUUCUGGUGGGGGAUGGGCUCGCGGCCUAUCAGCUUGUUGGUGGGGUGAUGGCCUACCAAGGCUUUGACGGGUAGCCGGCCUGAGAGGGUGACCGGUCACAUUGGGACUGAGAUACGGCCCAGACUCCUACGGGAGGCAGCAGUGGGGAAUAUUGCACAAUGGGCGCAAGCCUGAUGCAGCGACGCCGCGUGAGGGAUGGAGGCCUUCGGGUUGUAAACCUCUUUCGCUCAUGGUCAAGCCGCAACAGUGGUUGUGGUGAGGGUAGUGGGUAAAGAAGCGCCGGCUAACUACGUGCCAGCAGCCGCGGUAAUACGUAGGGCGCGAGCGUUGUCCGGAAUUAUUGGGCGUAAAGGGCUUGUAGGCGGUUGGUCGCGUCUGCCGUGAAAUCCUCUGGCUUAACUGGGGGCGUGCGGUGGGUACGGGCUGACUUGAGUGCGGUAGGGGAGACUGGAACUUCUGGUGUAGCGGUGGAAUGCGCAGAUAUCAGGAAGAACACCGGUGGCGAAGGCGGGUCUCUGGGCCGUUACUGACGCUGAGGAGCGAAAGCGUGGGGAACGAACAG
This 749-nucleotide ribosomal RNA is filed under the name uncultured Actinomyces sp. RNAcentral describes it as "bacterial SSU rRNA". It matches the Rfam family "Bacterial small subunit ribosomal RNA", at positions 28 to 775 of the family's 1533-position model. Lineage: Bacteria; Bacillati; Actinomycetota; Actinomycetes; Actinomycetales; Actinomycetaceae. The record is from RNAcentral.